GGCCUGCGGAAGGAUCAUUACCGAGUUCUCGGGCUUCGGCUCGAAUCUCCCACCCUUUGUGAACAUACCUCUGUUGCUUUGGCGGCUCUUUGCCGCGAGGAGGCCCUCGCGGGCCCCCCCGCGCGCUUUCCGCCAGAGGACCUUCAAACUCCAGUCAGUAAACGUCGACGUCUGAUAAACAAGUUAAUAAACUAAAACUUUCAACAACGGAUCUCUUGGUUCUGGCAUCGAUGAAGAACGCAGCGAAAUGCGAUAAGUAAUGUGAAUUGCAGAAUUCAGUGAAUCAUCGAAUCUUUGAACGCACAUUGCGCCCCUUGGCAUUCCGAGGGGCAUGCCUGUUCGAGCGUCAUUACAACCCUCAAGCUCUGCUUGGUAUUGGGCGCCGUCCUCUCUGCGGACGCGCCUUAAAGACCUCGGCGGUGGCUGUUCAGCCCUCAAGCGUAGUAGAAUACACCUCGCUUUGGAGCGGUUGGCGUCGCCCGCCGGACGAACCUUCUGAACUUUUCUCAAGGUUGACCUCGGAUCAGGUAGCUCCCCGAAUC
Molecule: ribosomal RNA, 542 nt
Filed under: Diplodia sapinea
Lineage: Eukaryota; Fungi; Ascomycota; Dothideomycetes; Botryosphaeriales; Botryosphaeriaceae
Description: eukaryotic LSU rRNA
Rfam family: 5.8S ribosomal RNA (bases 196-349)
Source: RNAcentral